UGAUAACUUUGCUUGUCUGGCAUUAAUGGGCUAUGCAAAGGAGGGAAACAGGUGCGGGAGUGCACUGUACUGCCAUGGCGACUUGGGGCGAUUAGUCCAGGCAAGUCACUGACUCAAGCCAGCAAGCCACUAGCCGCAGCCUUGGCGACUUGGCUUGACUCGGCGACUCAAAAACAUAGUCUUGAAGCAUAUACAAUAGUUUCCCUUACACUUCUAUAAAUAGCUUUACUCCAUUUUGUUGUUUUCGUAAUUUUAGUGUGGCAAUUUUGAUCGAAAUCAUCUUUAUUCACACACAGGCUGAUUUAUUUUGUUGGCUGGUUCUUCCAUUUUUCUCUGUUAUAGAAUAGGAAUGUCAUUACAGUGCGCGCGCGUGUGAGUUUGGUUGGAAAAAGGGGUGGGGGUGCAGCGAUCGUGGGCUGCAGUGCGUCGAAUGAGGGGUUGGAUGGAUUUUCUAUAAAGAUUCAUAUUGCCACCAGGAAACAGAGUAAAUCAUUUGGGUUACAGUAUUACAUGUGCUUCCUGUGAUGGCAAAUGUAAAUUUGGCACUAUCCAGAUCAAAGAUUACAGAAGUUCUUCUGGAGGAGGAUCCAUUGUUCUUGAUGAUUGUAACUUCCACGAGUCAGUGCAGCUCGACAGUUUUGACAUUGACAGAACUCUGCAUUUAUUAAGUACUACUGAUAUGAUUUAUUUUUUCUUCCAAAUAUGCACAGCAGCAAAAUUUGACAAUCAUAUUUACUAAUGAGUAGAUACCACCUGAUAGAGAAUUUCCAGUGAUGAACUACCGGAUGACUCAAGAAUUUAAGCCACCCUUCUGUGUAACUGCACUAAUUGAAGAAGCUGGCCCAUCUUUCGCUCAAGAGCUAACAUAAUGUGGUCUAAAGAUGCAUUUUUGUAUGAAAUACACAUUCUAACCAUACUUCCCUUACUCUCGCCCCUUGCCCCAUUGGCGCAACGGGUCA
Triticum aestivum (bread wheat) is the source of this 959-nucleotide long non-coding RNA. RefSeq lists it as uncharacterized. The record is from RefSeq and is a predicted model, not a curated record. NCBI's taxonomy places the organism in Eukaryota, Viridiplantae, Streptophyta, Magnoliopsida, Poales, Poaceae. The transcript has 3 exons.